CACUACAUGGAUAACUGUGGUAAUUCUAGAGCUAAUACAUGCUAAAAAUCCCGACUCCGGAAGGGAUGUAUUUAUUAGAUGAAAAACCAAUGCCCCUUGGGCUGCCUGGUGAUUCAUGAUAACUUCUCGAAUCGCAUGGCCUUGCGCCGGCGAUGGUUCAUUCAAAUUUCUUCCCUAUCAACUUUCGAUGCGAAGGUCUUGUCUUCGCAUGGUUACAACGGGUAACGGAGGGUUAGGGCUCGACCCCGGAGAAGGAGCCUGAGAAACGGCUACUACAUCCAAGGAAGGCAGCAGGCGCGCAAAUUACCCAAUCCCGACGCGGGGAGGUAGUGACAAAAAAUACUGAUACAGGGCUCUUUUGGGUCUUGUAAUUGGAAUGAGUACAAUUUAAAUCCCUUAACGAGGAACAAUUGGAGGGCAAGUCUGGUGCCAGCAGCCGCGGUAAUUCCAGCUCCAAUAGCGUAUAUUAAAGUUGUUGUGGUUAAAAAGCUCGUAGUUGAAACUUGGGCCUGGCUGGCCGGUCCCCCUCACCGGGUGCACUGAUCCAGCCGGGCCUUUCCCUCUGUGGAACCCCAUGGCCUUCGCUGGUCGUGGCGGGGAAACAGGACUUUUACUUUGAAAAAAUUAGAGUGCUCCAGGCAGGCCUAUGCUCGAAUACAUUAGCAUGGAAUAAUAAAAUAGGACGCGUGGUUCUAUUUUGUUGGUUUCUAGGACCGCCGUAAUGAUUAAUAGGGACAGUCGGGGGCAUCAGUAUUCAAUUGUCAGAGGUGAAAUUCUUGGAUCUAUUGAAGACUAACUACUGCGAAAGCAUUUGCCAAGGAUGUUUUCAUUGAUAAGGAACGAAAGUUAGGGGAUCGAAGACGAUCAGAUACCGUCGUAGUCUUAACCAUAAACUAUGCCGACUAGGGAUCGGACGAUGUUGCUAAUUGACUCGUUCGGCACCUUUCGAGAAAUCAAAGUGCU
This 963-nucleotide ribosomal RNA is filed under the name Arenariomyces truncatellus. Its description in RNAcentral is "SSU rRNA". It matches the Rfam family "Eukaryotic small subunit ribosomal RNA", at positions 133 to 1107 of the family's 1831-position model. The record is from RNAcentral. Lineage: Eukaryota; Fungi; Ascomycota; Sordariomycetes; Microascales; Halosphaeriaceae.